RNAcentral lists this unclassified non-coding RNA (273 nucleotides) under Hevea brasiliensis (rubber tree). Lineage: Eukaryota; Viridiplantae; Streptophyta; Magnoliopsida; Malpighiales; Euphorbiaceae. The record is from RNAcentral.
UCAGGAUAUAAUGCUUGAUAAGAUCCUAGAUGAAGCUGGUCGAAAGGUCCUCCUUUCAGAGUUCCCCAAGAUUAUGCAGCAGGGCUUUGCUUAUCUGCCAGCAGGGCUAUGUGUAUCGAGCAUGGGGAGGCCAGUGUCGUACGAGCAAGCUGUUGCAUGGAAGGUCCUUAAUGAUGACAACUCCAAUCACUGCCUAGCUUUCAUGUUCACAAACUGGUCUUUUAUUUAAGUUCAAAACAUAUGAUCUGCGUAAGGCAGGCUGUGUGGCAUUAG